Molecule: ribosomal RNA, 1182 nt
Filed under: Triticum aestivum (bread wheat)
Lineage: Eukaryota; Viridiplantae; Streptophyta; Magnoliopsida; Poales; Poaceae
Description: partial small subunit ribosomal RNA
Source: RNAcentral
AUGGUUGAUGAAGCUCUCCAACGGGUGCCUAACAGAAAUGGAGACAAAUAUAUUGACGAGGUCAACCAAAUCAGAGACUCGUUGGCAAUUAUGGGUGAUAACAGUACUGCUUUUAGCUUGCCCCAGCCUCAUCUCCAAAGAACAAAGUUAUGUGAUCUGAAAGACCAGGAACUUGAACCAUUGUAUGUACAAAGGAGGGAUGAAUUGAAGCAAUUAGUUGCAUCCAUGGUAAAACCAAAAAUUGUGCAGGGUAGAACUUUAAAUGGAAAGGAGUUUGUAGCCUUCUUAGGGCAGAUACUUGAAGCUUUGAAUAAAGGCGAAAUUCCAUCGACAGGGUCGCUUGUUGAAGUUUUCAAUAAGGGCAUCCUUGAACGUUGCUUGAAGGUGUAUACUGAAAGAAUGGAAAUAGUGGCUCUACCAGUAUCAGUUGAUAAACUUCAGCUGGCUCAUGGGUUGGCAGAAGAUGAAGCUAGAAAGCGUUUUGACAAGCAACAUUUUGGUAAACAUUAUGCUGCUCAGUCCUUCCUCAAUCUUGAUGAAGAAAUAAAAAAGGUGUUCAGAAGCUAUGGAUUAGCCAAUGAGUAUCAGUCAUCAAAGCUGUGUGAAGCAAAGUUCUCAGAGUGUGAAGAAAAAAUGGAUCACCUUCAAGCCUUGAAGCUUCCUUCCAUGGCAAAAUUCAAUGCAGGAUUUCUCCGCUGCAACCAAAGUUUCGAAAUGGAGUGUGUGGGGCCUGCCAAGGGUAGCUAUGAGCAUCGAAUGUCAAAGAUGCUCGCAAGGUCCCGUGCUCUGUUCAUCAGGGAGUAUAACAACAAACUCUUCAACUGGCUGGUGAUCUUCUCCCUAACCAUGGUGGUGAUCGGGCGAUUCAUCGUAAAGCUUCUUCUACUUGAAGUUGCUGCAUGGGUGAUGUUCAUCUUCCUGGAGACAUACACGAGGUUGUUCUGGUCAUCGGAAUCGCUCUACUACAACCCCGUCUGGCACGCCAUCGUCUCUUCGUGGGAGGCCAUUGUGUACAGCCCUGUUCUUGAUCUUGACAGAUGGGCAAUCCCAAUUGUUGUCAUGCUGUCCUUCUUAGCUGUUUAUUGGCGUUGCAUCGGCGCAAGGGGAAGGAUCGGUCGGUCGGUGUUACCCAUGUACAAUGGGUCUUUCAGAAGCAGCUCCGGUCGGCCCAGGACGGAUUAA